UGGGGAAUCUUGGACAAUGGGCGCAAGCCUGAUCCAGCCAUACCGCGUGAGUGAAGAAGGCCUUCGGGUUGUAAAGCUCUUUCAGACGGAAAGAAACGGUUACGGCUAAUACCCGUGACUAAUGACGGUACCGUAAGAAGAAGCACCGGCUAACUACGUGCCAGCAGCCGCGGUAAUACGUAGGGUGCGAGCGUUAAUCGGAAUUACUGGGCGUAAAGCGUGCGCAGGCGGUUUGGUAAGACAGAUGUGAAAUCCCCGGGCUUAACCUGGGAACUGCAUUUGUGACUGCCAGACUAGAGUGUAGCAGAGGGGGGUAGAAUUCCACGUGUAGCAGUGAAAUGCGUAGAUAUGUGGAGGAAUACCGAUGGCGAAGGCAGCCCCCUGGGCUAACACUGACGCUCAUGCACGAAAGCGUGGGGAGCAAACAGGAUUAGAUACCCUAGUAGUCCCUGAGCGGGCUGGCAAGGCGCAU
Molecule: ribosomal RNA, 472 nt
Filed under: uncultured bacterium
Lineage: Bacteria
Description: bacterial SSU rRNA
Rfam family: Bacterial small subunit ribosomal RNA
Source: RNAcentral